This 215-nucleotide ribosomal RNA is filed under the name uncultured fungus. RNAcentral's name for it is "partial small subunit ribosomal RNA". The stretch from base 88 to 215 matches the Rfam family "Eukaryotic small subunit ribosomal RNA", at positions 735 to 864 of the family's 1831-position model. Lineage: Eukaryota; Fungi. The record is from RNAcentral.
GACCUGGCCGGGCGGUCCGCCUAACGGUGUGUACUGUCUGGCCGGGCCUUACCUCUUGGUGAGCCAGCAUGCCCUUCACUGGGUGUGUUGGGGAACCAGGACUUUUACCUUGAGAAAAUUAGAGUGUUUAAAGCAAGCAAACGCUUGAAUACAUUAGCAUGGAAUAAUGAAAUAGGACGUUCGAACCUAUUUUGUUGGUUUCUAGGAUUGACGUA